UGGGGAAUAUUAGACAAUGGGCGCAAGCCUGAUCCAGCCAUACCGCGUGGGUGAAGAAGGCCUUCGGGUUGUAAAGCCCUUUUGUUGGGAAAGAAAUCCAGCUGGCUAAUACCCGGUUGGGAUGACGGUACCCAAAGAAUAAGCACCGGCUAACUUCGUGCCAGCAGCCGCGGUAAUACGAAGGGUGCAAGCGUUACUCGGAAUUACUGGGCGUAAAGCGUGCGUAGGUGGUCGUUUAAGUCCGUUGUGAAAGCCCUGGGCUCAACCUGGGAACUGCAGUGGAUACUGGGCGACUAGAGUGUGGUAGAGGGUAGCGGAAUUCCUGGUGUAGCAGUGAAAUGCGUAGAGAUCAGGAGGAACAUCCAUGGCGAAGGCAGCUACCUGGACCAACACUGACACUGAGGCACGAAAGCGUGGGGAGCAAACAGGAUUAGAUACCCUGGUAGUCCACGCCCUAAACGAUGCGAACUGGAUGUUGGGUGCAAUUUGGCACGCAGUAUCGAAGCUAACGCGUUAAGUUCGCCGCCUGGGGAGUACGGUCGCAAGACUG
This 550-nucleotide ribosomal RNA is filed under the name uncultured bacterium. Its description in RNAcentral is "bacterial SSU rRNA". It matches the Rfam family "Bacterial small subunit ribosomal RNA", at positions 355 to 896 of the family's 1533-position model. The record is from RNAcentral.